This 492-nucleotide ribosomal RNA is filed under the name uncultured bacterium. RNAcentral's name for it is "partial 16S ribosomal RNA". It matches the Rfam family "Bacterial small subunit ribosomal RNA", at positions 29 to 507 of the family's 1533-position model. The record is from RNAcentral.
AGUUAACGCUGGCGGUAGGCCUAACACAUGCAAGUCGAGCGGCAGCACAGUAAGAGCUUGCUCUUACGGGUGGCGAGUGGCGGACGGGUGAGGAAUACAUCGGAAUCUACUUUUUCGUGGGGGAUAACGUAGGGAAACUUACGCUAAUACCGCAUACGACCUACGGGUGAAAGCAGGGGAUCUUCGGACCUUGCGCGAUUGAAUGAGCCGAUGUCGGAUUAGCUAGUUGGCGGGGUAAAGGCCCACCAAGGCGACGAUCCGUAGCUGGUCUGAGAGGAUGAUCAGCCACACUGGAACUGAGACACGGUCCAGACUCCUACGGGAGGCAGCAGUGGGGAAUAUUGGACAAUGGGCGCAAGCCUGAUCCAGCCAUACCGCGUGGGUGAAGAAGGCCUUCGGGUUGUAAAGCCCUUUUGUUGGGAAAGAAAAGCAGCAGGUUAAUACCCCGCUGUUCUGACGGUACCCAAAGAAUAAGCACCGGCUAACUUCGUG